Molecule: small nuclear RNA, 122 nt
Organism: Tupaia belangeri (northern tree shrew)
Lineage: Eukaryota; Metazoa; Chordata; Mammalia; Scandentia; Tupaiidae
Gene: U4
Rfam family: U4 spliceosomal RNA
About the family: U4 small nuclear RNA (U4 snRNA) is a component of the major U2-dependent spliceosome.
Source: Ensembl
AGCUUUGUGCAGUGGCAGUAUCAUAGCCAAUGAGGUUUAUCCGAGGCGCAAUUAUUGCUAAUUGAAAACAAGAACAUUUAUCUAACUAUCUAUCCAGAAACAUGUGCAUACAUGCACACAUA